CAUCACAUGGCAGGUGACAUCGCACCAAAUUAAAGUGACGUGUGAUAAAUAUUUAGAAUUCCCCUCGACAAGCACCACAGCAAAUCCAU
Molecule: long non-coding RNA, 89 nt
Organism: Nematolebias whitei (Rio pearlfish)
Lineage: Eukaryota; Metazoa; Chordata; Actinopteri; Cyprinodontiformes; Rivulidae
Exons: 3
Source: RefSeq, a predicted model, not a curated record